GCGGGUAUAGCAUAAUGGUAAUGCACCAGCCUUCCAAGCUGUGUAUGUCGGUUCGAUUCCGUCUACCCGCUCCA
RNAcentral lists this transfer RNA (74 nucleotides) under Hyphomonas sp. Its description in RNAcentral is "tRNA-Gly". It matches the Rfam family "tRNA". Rfam says of the family: Transfer RNA (tRNA) molecules are approximately 80 nucleotides in length. Their secondary structure includes four short double-helical elements and three loops (D, anti-codon, and T loops). Lineage: Bacteria; Pseudomonadati; Pseudomonadota; Alphaproteobacteria; Hyphomonadales; Hyphomonadaceae. RNAcentral also lists the same sequence under 22 other names. The record is from RNAcentral.